Molecule: ribosomal RNA, 2933 nt
Filed under: Enterobacter hormaechei
Lineage: Bacteria; Pseudomonadati; Pseudomonadota; Gammaproteobacteria; Enterobacterales; Enterobacteriaceae
Description: 23S ribosomal RNA
Rfam family: Bacterial large subunit ribosomal RNA
Source: RNAcentral
GGGUUGUGAGGUUAAGCGACUAAGCGUACACGGUGGAUGCCCUGGCAGUCAGAGGCGAUGAAGGACGUGCUAAUCUGCGAAAAGCGCCGGCGAGGUGAUAUGAACCCUUGACCCGGCGAUGUCCGAAUGGGGAAACCCAGUGCAAUCCGUUGCACUAUCGUUAACUGAAUACAUAGGUUAACGAGGCGAACCGGGGGAACUGAAACAUCUAAGUACCCCGAGGAAAAGAAAUCAACCGAGAUUCCCCCAGUAGCGGCGAGCGAACGGGGAGCAGCCCGGAGUCUGAAUCAGCUUGUGUGUUAGUGGAACGGUCUGGAAAGUCCGACGGUACAGGGUGAUAGUCCCGUACACGAAAGCACACAUGCUGUGAACUCGAAGAGUAGGGCGGGACACGUGGUAUCCUGUCUGAAUAUGGGGGGACCAUCCUCCAAGGCUAAAUACUCCUGACUGACCGAUAGUGAACCAGUACCGUGAGGGAAAGGCGAAAAGAACCCCGGCGAGGGGAGUGAAAAAGAACCUGAAACCGUGUACGUACAAGCAGUGGGAGCCUCUUUAUGGGGUGACUGCGUACCUUUUGUAUAAUGGGUCAGCGACUUAUAUUCUGUAGCAAGGUUAACCGUAUAGGGGAGCCGAAGGGAAACCGAGUCUUAACUGGGCGUUAAGUUGCAGGGUAUAGACCCGAAACCCGGUGAUCUAGCCAUGGGCAGGUUGAAGGUUGGGUAACACUAACUGGAGGACCGAACCGACUAAUGUUGAAAAAUUAGCGGAUGACCUGUGGCUGGGGGUGAAAGGCCAAUCAAACCGGGAGAUAGCUGGUUCUCCCCGAAAGCUAUUUAGGUAGCGCCUCGUGAAUUCAUCUUCGGGGGUAGAGCACUGUUUCGGCUAGGGGGCCAUCCCGGCUUACCAACCCGAUGCAAACUACGAAUACCGAAGAAUGUUAUCACGGGAGACACACGGCGGGUGCUAACGUCCGUCGUGAAGAGGGAAACAACCCAGACCGCCAGCUAAGGUCCCAAAGUCAUGGUUAAGUGGGAAACGAUGUGGGAAGGCACAGACAGCCAGGAUGUUGGCUUAGAAGCAGCCAUCAUUUAAAGAAAGCGUAAUAGCUCACUGGUCGAGUCGGCCUGCGCGGAAGAUGUAACGGGGCUAAACCAUGCACCGAAGCUGCGGCAGCGACACUUAUGUGUUGUUGGGUAGGGGAGCGUUCUGUAAGCCGUUGAAGGUGUGCUGUGAGGCAUGCUGGAGGUAUCAGAAGUGCGAAUGCUGACAUAAGUAACGAUAAAGCGGGUGAAAAGCCCGCUCGCCGGAAGACCAAGGGUUCCUGUCCAACGUUAAUCGGGGCAGGGUGAGUCGACCCCUAAGGCGAGGCCGAAAGGCGUAGUCGAUGGGAAACAGGUUAAUAUUCCUGUACUUGGUGUUACUGCGAAGGGGGGACGGAGAAGGCUAUGUCAGCCGGGCGACGGUUGUCCCGGUUUAAGCAUGUAGGCGGAGGUUCCAGGUAAAUCCGGUACCUUAUUAACGCUGAGGUGUGAUGACGAGGCACUACGGUGCUGAAGUGAUAAAUGCCCUGCUUCCAGGAAAAGCCUCUAAGCAUCAGGUAACACGAAAUCGUACCCCAAACCGACACAGGUGGUCAGGUAGAGAAUACCAAGGCGCUUGAGAGAACUCGGGUGAAGGAACUAGGCAAAAUGGUGCCGUAACUUCGGGAGAAGGCACGCUGAUGUGUAGGUGAAGCCCCUGCGGGCGGAGCUGAAAUCAGUCGAAGAUACCAGCUGGCUGCAACUGUUUAUUAAAAACACAGCACUGUGCAAACACGAAAGUGGACGUAUACGGUGUGACGCCUGCCCGGUGCCGGAAGGUUAAUUGAUGGGGUUAGCGGCAACGCGAAGCUCUUGAUCGAAGCCCCGGUAAACGGCGGCCGUAACUAUAACGGUCCUAAGGUAGCGAAAUUCCUUGUCGGGUAAGUUCCGACCUGCACGAAUGGCGUAAUGAUGGCCAGGCUGUCUCCACCCGAGACUCAGUGAAAUUGAACUCGCUGUGAAGAUGCAGUGUACCCGCGGCAAGACGGAAAGACCCCGUGAACCUUUACUAUAGCUUGACACUGAACACUGGUCCUUGAUGUGUAGGAUAGGUGGGAGGCUUUGAAGCGUGGACGCCAGUCUGCGUGGAGCCGACCUUGAAAUACCACCCUUUAAUGGCUGGUGUUCUAACGUAGACCCGUAAUCCGGGUUGCGGACAGUGUCUGGUGGGUAGUUUGACUGGGGCGGUCUCCUCCCAAAGAGUAACGGAGGAGCACGAAGGUUGGCUAAUCCUGGUCGGACAUCAGGAGGUUAGUGCAAUGGCAUAAGCCAGCUUGACUGCGAGCGUGACGGCGCGAGCAGGUGCGAAAGCAGGUCAUAGUGAUCCGGUGGUUCUGAAUGGAAGGGCCAUCGCUCAACGGAUAAAAGGUACUCCGGGGAUAACAGGCUGAUACCGCCCAAGAGUUCAUAUCGACGGCGGUGUUUGGCACCUCGAUGUCGGCUCAUCACAUCCUGGGGCUGAAGUAGGUCCCAAGGGUAUGGCUGUUCGCCAUUUAAAGUGGUACGCGAGCUGGGUUUAGAACGUCGUGAGACAGUUCGGUCCCUAUCUGCCGUGGGCGCUGGAGAAUUGAGGGGGGCUGCUCCUAGUACGAGAGGACCGGAGUGGACGCAUCACUGGUGUUCGGGUUGUCAUGCCAAUGGCACUGCCCGGUAGCUAAAUGCGGAAGAGAUAAGUGCUGAAAGCAUCUAAGCACGAAACUUGCCCCGAGAUGAGUUCUCCCUGACCCUUUAAGGGUCCUGAAGGAACGUUGAAGACGACGACGUUGAUAGGUCGGGUGUGUAAGCGCAGCGAUGCGUUGAGCUAACCGAUACUAAUGAACCGUGAGGCUUAACCUUACAACGCCGAAGGUGUUU